This 492-nucleotide ribosomal RNA is filed under the name uncultured bacterium. RNAcentral's name for it is "partial 16S ribosomal RNA". It matches the Rfam family "Bacterial small subunit ribosomal RNA", at positions 29 to 507 of the family's 1533-position model. The record is from RNAcentral.
AGUGAACGCUGGCGGUAGGCCUAACACAUGCAAGUCGAACGGCAGCACAGUAAGAGCUUGCUCUUACGGGUGGCGAGUGGCGGACGGGUGAGGAAUACAUCGGUAUCUACUUUUUCGUGGGGGAUAACGUAGGGAAACUUACGCCAAUACCGCAUACGACCUACGGGUGAAAGCAUGGGAUCUUCGGAUCUUGCGCGAUUGAAUGAGCCGAUGUCGGAUUAGCUAGUUGGCGGGGUAAAGGCCCACCAAGGCGACGAUCCGUAGCUGGUCUGAGAGGAUGAUCAGCCACACUGGAACUGAGACACGGUCCAGACUCCUACGGGAGGCAGCAGUGGGGAAUAUUGGACAAUGGGCGCAAGCCUGAUCCAGCCAUGCCGCGUGGGUGAAGAAGGCCUUCGGAUUGUAAAGCCCUUUUGUUGGGAAAGAAAAGCAGCAGGUUAAUACCCCGCUGUUCUGACGGUACCAAAAGAAUAAGCACCGGCUAACUCCGUG